This 468-nucleotide ribosomal RNA is filed under the name uncultured bacterium. Its description in RNAcentral is "partial 16S ribosomal RNA". It matches the Rfam family "Bacterial small subunit ribosomal RNA", at positions 28 to 507 of the family's 1533-position model. The record is from RNAcentral.
GACGAACGCUGGCGGCGUGCUUAACACAUGCAAGUCGAACGGAAAGGCCCUGCUUUUGUGGGGUGCUCGAGUGGCGAACGGGGGAGUAAAACGUGUGUAACACGCCCUUGACUUUGGGGUAACUUCAGGGAACUGGGGCUAAUACCGGAUAGAAGCUCCUGCUGCGUGGUGGGGGUUGGAAAGUUUCGGCGGUUGGGGAUGGACUGGCGGGUUAUCCGCUUGUUGGUGGGGUAGUGGCUUACCAAGGCUUUGACGGGUAGGCGGCCUGAGAGGGUGACCGGGCACAUUGGGCCUGAGAUAGGGCCCAGACUCCUACGGGAGGCAGCAGUGGGGAAUAUUGCAGAAUGGGCGGGAGCCUGAGGCAGCAACGCCGGGUGCGGGAUGACGGCCUUCGGGUUGUAAACCGCUUUCGCCGGUGACGAAGCGUGAGUGACGGUAAUGGGUAAAGAAGCACCGGCUAACUACGUG